UGAAUCAGAACAAUGGUACCC
Caenorhabditis elegans is the source of this 21-nucleotide non-coding RNA. The record is from Ensembl. NCBI's taxonomy places the organism in Eukaryota, Metazoa, Nematoda, Chromadorea, Rhabditida, Rhabditidae.